GGCCUAUUAGCUCAGUUGGUUAGAGCAUCGUGCUAAUAACGCGAAGGUCACAGGUUCUAGACCUGUAUGGGCUA
This 74-nucleotide transfer RNA is filed under the name Ipomoea nil (Japanese morning glory). It matches the Rfam family "tRNA". Rfam says of the family: Transfer RNA (tRNA) molecules are approximately 80 nucleotides in length. The record is from Rfam by way of RNAcentral. Lineage: Eukaryota; Viridiplantae; Streptophyta; Magnoliopsida; Solanales; Convolvulaceae.